RNAcentral lists this ribosomal RNA (253 nucleotides) under uncultured bacterium. RNAcentral describes it as "partial 16S ribosomal RNA". It matches the Rfam family "Bacterial small subunit ribosomal RNA", at positions 524 to 776 of the family's 1533-position model. The record is from RNAcentral.
UACGUAGGGCGCAAGCGUUGUCCGGAAUUAUUGGGCGUAAAGAGCUCGUAGGCGGUUUGUCGCGUCGGAUGUGAAAGCCCGGGGCUUAACCCCGGGUCUGCAUUCGAUACGGGCAGACUAGAGUGUGGUAGGGGAGAUCGGAAUUCCUGGUGUAGCGGUGAAAUGCGCAGAUAUCAGGAGGAACACCGGUGGCGAAGGCGGAUCUCUGGGCCAUUACUGACGCUGAGGAGCGAAAGCGUGGGGAGCGAACAGG